CUGUGACGCCGGCGGUGUGCCUAUACAUGCAGUCGUACGCACUGGCCCAACUGAUUGAUGGUGCUUGCACCUGAUUGACGAUGGAUCACCAGUGAGUGGCGGACGGGUGAGUAACACGUAGGUAACCUGCCCCGGAGCGGGGGAUAACAUUUGGAAACAGAUGCUAAUACCGCAUAACAACAAAAGCCACAUGGCUUUUGUUUGAAAGAUGGCUUUGGCUAUCACUCUGGGAUGGACCUGCGGUGCAUUAGCUAGUUGGUAAGGUAACGGCUUACCAAGGCGAUGAUGCAUAGCCGAGUUGAGAGACUGAUCGGCCACAAUGGAACUGAGACACGGUCCAUACUCCUACGGGAGGCAGCAGUAGGGAAUCUUCCACAAUGGGCGCAAGCCUGAUGGAGCAACACCGCGUGAGUGAAGAAGGGUUUCGGCUCGUAAAGCUCUGUUGUUGGAGAAGAACGUGCGUGAGAGUAACUGUUCACGCAGUGACGGUAUCCAACCAGAAAGUCACGGCUAACUACGUGCCAGCAGCCGCGGUAAUACGUAGGUGGCAAGCGUUAUCCGGAUUUAUUGGGCGUAAAGCGAGCGCAGGCGGUUGCUUAGGUCUGAUGUGAAAGCCUUCGGCUUAACCGAAGAAGUGCAUCGGAAACCGGGCGACUUGAGUGCAUAAUAGGACAGUGGGAACUCCAUGUGUAGCGGUGGAAUGCGUAGAUAUAUGGAAGACACCAGUGGCGAAGGCGGCUGUCUGGUCUGCACCUGACGCUGAGGCUCGAAAGCAUGGGUUAGCGAACAGGAAUAAAUACCCUG
RNAcentral lists this ribosomal RNA (804 nucleotides) under uncultured Lactobacillus sp. RNAcentral describes it as "bacterial SSU rRNA". It matches the Rfam family "Bacterial small subunit ribosomal RNA", at positions 29 to 789 of the family's 1533-position model. Lineage: Bacteria; Bacillati; Bacillota; Bacilli; Lactobacillales; Lactobacillaceae. The record is from RNAcentral.